CAGAGGUCCCAAGCGUUGUUCGGAUUCACUGGGCGUAAAGGGUGCGUAGGUGGUAAGGUAAGUCAGGUGUGAAAUCUCCAAGCUCAACUUGGAAACUGCAUUCGAAACUGCCUUGCUAGAGGAUUUGAGGGGGACUGGAAUACUUGGUGUAGCAGUGAAAUGCGUAGAUAUCAAGUGGAACACCAGUGGCGAAGGCGAAUCCCUGGAAAAUACCUGACACUGAGGCACGAAAGCUAGGGGAGCAAACAGGAUUAGAUACCCUGGUAGUCCUAGCCCUAAACGGUGCUUGCUUGCUGUAAGAGGAAUCGACCCCUCUUGUGGCGGAGCUAACGCGUUAAGCAAGCCGCCUGGGAAGUACGGUCGCAAGAUUA
This 371-nucleotide ribosomal RNA is filed under the name uncultured organism. Its description in RNAcentral is "bacterial SSU rRNA". It matches the Rfam family "Bacterial small subunit ribosomal RNA", at positions 526 to 896 of the family's 1533-position model. The record is from RNAcentral.